GGGGAAUCUUCCGCAAUGGACGAAAGUCUGACGGAGCAACGCCGCGUGAACGAUGACGGCCUUCGGGUUGUAAAGUUCUGUUAUACGGGACGAAUGGCGUAGCGGUCAAUACCCGUUACGAGUGACGGUACCGUAAGAGAAAGCCACGGCUAACUACGUGCCAGCAGCCGCGGUAAUACGUAGGUGGCAAGCGUUGUCCGGAAUUAUUGGGCGUAAAGGGUGCGCAGGCGGUCUCUUAAGUCUGUCUUAAAAGUGCGGGGCUCAACCCCGUGAGGGGACGGAAACUGGGAGACUGGAGUAUCGGAGAGGAAAGCAGAAUUCCUAGUGUAGCGGUGAAAUGCGUAGAUAUUAGGAGGAAUACCAGUGGCGAAAGCGGCUUUCUGGACGACAACUGACGCUGAGGCACGAAAGCCAGGGGAGCGAACG
Molecule: ribosomal RNA, 426 nt
Filed under: uncultured Megasphaera sp.
Lineage: Bacteria; Bacillati; Bacillota; Negativicutes; Veillonellales; Veillonellaceae
Description: bacterial SSU rRNA
Rfam family: Bacterial small subunit ribosomal RNA
Source: RNAcentral